Molecule: ribosomal RNA, 215 nt
Filed under: uncultured bacterium
Lineage: Bacteria
Description: partial 16S ribosomal RNA
Rfam family: Bacterial small subunit ribosomal RNA
Source: RNAcentral
UCCCAGUUCGGAUUGUAGUCUGCAACCCGACUACAUGAAGCUGGAAUCGCUAGUAAUCGCGGAUCAGAAUGCCGCGGUGAAUACGUUCCCGGGUCUUGUACACACCGCCCGUCACACCAUGGGAGUCGGAAAUGCCCGAAGCCGGUGACCAAACCAAUAAGGAAGGAGCCGUCGAAGGCAGGUCUGAUAACUGGGUGAAGUCGUAACAAGGUAAC